CAGAAUAUAGCUUAAAUAAAGCAUCUUGCUUACACCAAAAAAAUAUCUAUAUAUAGAUUAUUCUG
RNAcentral lists this transfer RNA (65 nucleotides) under Pseudoeurycea sp. IBH 26444. Its description in RNAcentral is "tRNA-Val". Lineage: Eukaryota; Metazoa; Chordata; Amphibia; Caudata; Plethodontidae. The record is from RNAcentral.